CGACAACUUCAAAGUGAUGAAAGAUGCUCUAAUAGUAGAGUUAUCAUAUAUAUCUUAUGUAUGUACCACGGCAGAUAGUUGGACACAUAACAGAAGAGCUUAUUUGGGAAUCACAGGCCAUUGGUUAGACCCUAGGACUUUAAAAAGAAGAUCUGUAGCCUUAGCCCUUAAAAGGAUUAUAGGAUGCCAGACAUAUGACGUACUUGCAAAUAAAAUUAUUGACAUCCACAAGUCUUUUAGGAUUCAUAAUAAAGUUUGCAAGAUGGUUACUGAUAAUGGGUCUAACUACCUGAAGGCAUUUAGGCUAAUGGCGAAGCUGAAUAAUCUUACUCCAACAAACAGAGAUUGCCGAGUAUCUAGCACGAAGACAUCCUCAAAUAAUUUUUUUGAAAUUAAAGAUGAUUUAAUAGAAAAUCCAAUUGAUCUUUUUUUUCAAUCAAAAUAUAUUGAGAUGAAUAUUUUUGAUAAUUUUUCAUAUAUUAAAAAUUUAUAUAUGAAAUUUAAU
Molecule: long non-coding RNA, 505 nt
Organism: Gordionus sp. m RMFG-2023
Lineage: Eukaryota; Metazoa; Nematomorpha; Gordioida; Chordodea; Parachordodidae
Exons: 3
Source: RefSeq, a predicted model, not a curated record